RNAcentral lists this ribosomal RNA (795 nucleotides) under uncultured bacterium. Its description in RNAcentral is "bacterial SSU rRNA". It matches the Rfam family "Bacterial small subunit ribosomal RNA", at positions 8 to 796 of the family's 1533-position model. The record is from RNAcentral.
AGAGUUUGAUCAUGGCUCAGGAUGAACGCUAGCGGCAGGCUUAAUACAUGCAAGUCGUGGGGCAGCAUGGUGUAGCAAUACACUGAUGGCGACCGGCAAACGGGUGCGGAACACGUACGCAACCUUCCUUUAACUGGAGAAUAGCCCGGGGAAACCCGGAUUAAUACUCCGUAACAUUAUGAAGUGGCAUCACUUUAUAAUUAUAGCUCCGGCGGUUAAAGAUGGGCGUGCGUCUGAUUAGGUAGUUGGCGGGGUAACGGCCCACCAAGCCUACGAUCAGUAACUGGUGUGAGAGCACGACCAGUCACACGGGCACUGAGACACGGGCCCGACUCCUACGGGAGGCAGCAGUAAGGAAUAUUGGUCAAUGGACGCAAGUCUGAACCAGCCAUGCCGCGUGGAGGAUGAAGGUCCUCUGGAUUGUAAACUUCUUUUAUUUGGGAAGAAACCACCGAUUUCUAUUGGUGUUGACGGUACCAGAUGAAUAAGCACCGGCUAACUCCGUGCCAGCAGCCGCGGUAAUACGGAGGGUGCAAGCGUUAUCCGGAUUCACUGGGUUUAAAGGGUGCGUAGGCGGGUUGGUAAGUCCGUGGUGAAAUCUCCAAGCUUAACUUGGAAACUGCCGUGGAUACUAUCAAUCUUGAAUAUCGUGGAGGUGAGCGGAAUAUGUCAUGUAGCGGUGAAAUGCUUAGAUAUGACAUAGAACACCCAUUGCGAAGGCAGCUCGCUACACGGUUAUUGACGCUGAGGCACGAAAGCGUGGGGAUCAAACAGGAUUAGAUACCCUAGUAGUCC